GCUAAAACCCCAUAUGCCCCUGGGUGAAAAAGAGGAGAUAAGUAAAACUGAAUCACCUCUGCCUGAAGAGAAGCUCGCGGCUGAUUAGCUAGUUGGUAGGGUAAAGGCCUACCAAGGCGACGAUCAGUAGCUGGUCUGAGAGGACGAUCAGCCACACUGGAACUGAGACACGGUCCAGACUCCUACGGGAGGCAGCAGUGAGGAAUUUUCUGCAAUGGGCGAAAGCCUGACAGAGCAAUACCGCGUGAGGGAUGAAGACUUACUGAGUUGUAAACCUCGGUGCCUUAAGGAAGAAGAUCUGACGGUACUUAAGGUGGAAAGCAUCGGCUAACUCCGUGCCAGCAGCCGCGGUAAGACGGGGGAUGCAAGUGUUAUCCGGAUUUACUGGGCGUAAAGCGUCUGCAGGUGGUUUCUUAAGUCUGCUGUUAAAUCUUGAGGCUCAACCUCAAAUCUGCAGUAGAAACUAGGAGACUUGAGUAUAGUAGGGGUAGAGGGAAUUUCCAGUGGAGCGGUGAAAUGCGUAGAUAUUGGAAAGAACACCGAUGGCGAAGGCACUCUACUGGGCUAUUACUGACACUCAGAGACGAAAGCUAGGGGAGCAAAUGGGAUUAGAUA
This 615-nucleotide ribosomal RNA is filed under the name uncultured eukaryote. RNAcentral describes it as "bacterial SSU rRNA". It matches the Rfam family "Bacterial small subunit ribosomal RNA", at positions 162 to 784 of the family's 1533-position model. The record is from RNAcentral.